RNAcentral lists this long non-coding RNA (556 nucleotides) under Coffea arabica (coffee). RNAcentral's name for it is "long non-coding RNA (CARA_LNC000634)". The record is from RNAcentral. Lineage: Eukaryota; Viridiplantae; Streptophyta; Magnoliopsida; Gentianales; Rubiaceae.
UUUAAUAUUUAUAAAACCAUUCAAAUGGCCAAGGGCUUCAUCAAUCAUUAGCCCUUGACAACAUCAAUCACUUCCAACCACAAUUCAAUCAAGAAUUCAAACCACAAAUAAGCUAAAUGUUCGAUCCAAGUCAAAAAUUCAGUUUCAUAAAGAAACAGGACAUUCAAGCAGGACAGUCUACUUUGAGGAGUCACGGACAGCAGUACAUAUGGAGGAAAAAUAUGAAAUUUCUACAGAACAAAGGCCCAUGAAUCUAGUUUCAAAUGCCACUGACGGCGCCUUAAACGGAUUUUCCUACACCAAGAUACAUGCAUUUUACUGAGACUGGUCAGGGACAUCCGAAAAUCUGAAAUUUCAUUUUCCACUUGUGAAAAACUCCUUUUUCUCUUUUAACACCAAAAUGUUUUUAUUCAACCAUCCAUACAUUUCUUAUAAAACUCCAAAACAACAUAUUCCAGGCAUUUCCAUCCAUCAUGAUUCAAAGAAAUAUUUAAAAACCAAGCUAAGAUUCCAACUCACCCUUCGGCUACCACAAAAGAAAUUCCGGCAUGUAUAC